This is an RNA transcript of Nycticebus coucang (slow loris), 3390 nucleotides long. It is a transcript of the gene named small nuclear ribonucleoprotein U4/U6.U5 subunit 27, with no coding region annotated. NCBI's taxonomy places the organism in Eukaryota, Metazoa, Chordata, Mammalia, Primates, Lorisidae. The record is from RefSeq and is a predicted model, not a curated record. The transcript has 7 exons.
CCGGAACUCUUGCGAUGGGUUUCGACACUUUCCAGUCGGUAGUAAAAGUUUAAUGCCCGGGACUCCCGGAAGUUGUUGCACAGUCGUUUCCGGGGUGGUGGAAGGAGUAGCAGGACUCUAAAUGGGUCGCAGUCGCAGUCGCUCCCCACGGAGGGAACGUAGGCGGUCCCGGUCCACAUCCCGGGAGAGAGACCGCAGGCGCCGAGAGAGGUCUCGGUCCCGCGAGAGAGAUCGGAGAAGGAGCCGCUCGCGAUCUCCACACCGAAGACGCUCCAGAUCUCCAAGACGACAUAGAUCCACAUCUCCCUCCCCUUCUCGACUGAAAGAAAGAAGAGAUGAGGAAAAGAAAGAAACAAAAGAAACAAAGAGUAAAGAACGUCAGAUUACUGAGGAAGACUUAGAGGGUAAAACAGAAGAAGAAAUAGAAAUGAUGAAGUUAAUGGGAUUUGCUGCCUUUGACUCCACAAAAGGAAAGAAGGUGGAUGGCUCUGUAAAUGCCUAUGCCAUAAAUGUGUCUCAGAAGAGGAAGUACAGGCAGUACAUGAAUCGAAAAGGCGGAUUCAACAGACCUUUGGAUUUCAUUGCAUGAAAAUUGAAAUGUUGAAGAAUGAUAUUUUUCCCUCUUAUCUUGGUCAGAGAAAGGAUUUUGUAUUUUGUUCUUUAGUAUGCAUCAAAACAGGAUCUCAUUCUCCUUAUAAAGUAAGAAAAUCUUAUUUAUGAUGCACAUGGUUCACUUACUUUGCCUCAAAAGAAGAAAGGUUAAAUAUCACAUUUUUUUCUUUUAGGAAAUGUUUGUGGCAAUCAUCAGCCCCAUUUUGUUUGUCCUUAUUCCUGUGGAAGCUGUAUGUGUUUUCUUCUUGGAUGCUCAUUAGGACUUUUAAAAAAACAUGAAAGUAAUUUGGAUGCUGCUGCCUCACAGAGGACAUAAAUUGUGCCCUAUCUUCUGUUUGCAAGUGUCUAAUGUUAGAGCGCUCCAGAGUUGGGUCAGCGCUUGGACUCUUCAGUCUCUGCCUUGGUGAGUCAUCCAUUCAAGUAGUGUCAAACACCUUUUGCCCUGGCUCUCAAAUGUAUACUUUCAGCCUGACCAUUUUGUUUAAUCAUAGUGUGGUAUGUACAACUAGAUUAUUAGGCUUCUCAAAUUUAAGAUUAACUAAUGCUUAUUUCCCUGCUCAGUCUUCUCUGAGGCCUCCCCUUCUAAAUACAUGGCCCUUUCAUUCACUCUGUUACUCAGAGCAAAAUCUUUGGGGUCAUUCUUGACUCCUGUCUUUCUCUUCCGUGCCUCAUAUCAUCAUAUAGAAGAUGUUUUUGACUCUAACCUGAGAGUGUGUUUUCAAUUUGUCUACUUUGGAUUUUUUUUUUUCUUUUUUCAUUGUUUUAAAUUCAGUCUAAUGAAUCUGACCACUUUUCACCACCUACACUAGUCUAAGCCAUUUCUCUUGUUUGGGCUACUGCAGCCUCCUAAUUUGUCCCCUUCCUGUUCUUGCUGCUUUUUUAUUCUUCACCCAGCAGCAGAGAUUAACCUUUUAAAAUGUACAUCAGGUCACAUUGCUCCUGGAUCCUGUGGUUUUUCUGUCAUUGAGAAUAAAAUCCAGGGGCGGCGCCUGUGGGUCAGUGGGUAGGGCACCGGCUUCAUGUACAGAGGGUGGUGGGUUUGAACCCGGCCCCGGCCAGCUAAAACAGCAGUGGCAACUGCAACAAAAAUAGCUGGGCAUUAUGGUGGGCGCCUGUAAGUCCCAGCUACUCGGGAGGCUGAGACAAGAGAAUCGCUUAAGCCCAAGAGUUGGAAGUUGCUAUGAGCAGUGACAUCACAAAACUCUACUGAGGGUGACAGAGUAAGACUCUGUCUCAAAAAAAAAAAGGUAGAAUAAAAUCCAGUCCUCAGUGAGGUCUAUAGGCCUUUUCAUGAUCUAGACCCUGGCUUCCCAUAGCCUCACCCUCUCAGCUACUGCACUAACAGCUAGCCUCCUUGCUGUUCUUUGAAAACAGGCUUGUGUCUAUCCUGAGAAUGUUCUUAUUUGUUCUUUCUUCCUUCUGGAAUGUUCUUACUCCUUCCCCAUCUCCCAGAUUUGCAUGGUUAACUUCUUUACAUUGCUUAGGUCUCUGAUCAAACUAAGGUCAUUCCUGACUACCCUAUACAAAAUAGCAAACUUUCUUCCCUCUCUAUCCCUGUGCUGUGCUUUACUCUCUCUUUUUUAAAAAACACUAAAAAAAUUAAGAUAAAAUUUAUAUACCAUAAAAUUUACCCUUCCAAAGUUUACAGUUUGUGGGUUUUGGUUAUUAUGCAUCUGUCAUCACUAUCUAAUUCUAGAAUGUUUUCAUCACCCCAAAAAGAAACCCAGUAUCCACUAAUAAUCAUUCCUCAUCCCUCCAACCUCUGGAAACCACUCAUGUACCCUCUAUCUCUACAGACGUGCCUAUUCAUUUCAUAGAAGUGGAGUCAUACAAUAUGGGCCCUUUCGUGCCUGGCUUUUUCACUUAGCAUAGUAUUUUCAAGGUUCAUUUGUUUUUGUAGCAUGUAUCAGUGCAUUUUUUUAACGUAGCCAAAUAUUCUAUAGGUAUACCACAUUUUGUUGAUAUAGUCAUAUCACAUUCAUAAGUUGAUGAGCAUUUAGGUUGUUUUCACUUUGUGACUAUUAAUAAUACUGCAUGAACACUAGCAUACAAGUUUUUGUAUAAACAUGUUUUCAGUUCUUUGAGAAUAUAGUUAGGAGUCGAAUCACUGGGUCACAUUGGUAACUCCCUGUUUUACUUUUUGAGGCACACUGUCAAACUGUUUUCCAAAGCAGCUGCACUAUUUUACAUUCCAACCGACAACAUAUGAGAAUUUUGGUUUUUCUCCCCAAACCUUUCUUUACUUCUCCUCAAAGCACUUGUCACUCACUGACUCUACGUUCACUUAUUAUUGUCUGGUUCUUCCAUUAAAUGGCAAGCUCUGAGAAACCGGGCUUUUGUCUUGUUUGCUGCUGUACAACCAGCACCACACAGUGCCUGGCACAUGGUAAAACACUGAGUAAAUAUCUGUUGAAUUCUAGAGCAUACUUCUCUAAUCUUUAUUCAUGUAACCACUUCCUUUUAAUUUUCAUUUUAGCCUUCAGUUACCAACAAAGAAAUGGACAAUUUUACUUGCAAAAAUUUUAAAAUACCACAAAGCUAAAUUCCCUUUGAACAGUACCACAAUCCUUUUGCCCUUCUUCACUGCUAAUCUUUUGUAAUGUAUCCUUUGUCUAUGCAUAUUUGCAUGUAACAGAGUUGGAAAUGAGGAAAAUACAUAGUAUAGGCCUUUUUUAAAAUAAAAAUAUUAUGAUGUAGGGCGGCGCCUGUGGCUCAAGGAGUAGGGCGCCAGUCCCAUAUGCCGAAGGUGGCAGGUUCAAACCUAGCCCUGGCCAAAAA